UGGCUCAGCUGGUAGAGCACUUGCCUGGUAUGUAAGAUGUCCUGGGUUUGAUUCACAG
Molecule: transfer RNA, 58 nt
Filed under: Neotoma lepida (desert woodrat)
Lineage: Eukaryota; Metazoa; Chordata; Mammalia; Rodentia; Cricetidae
Rfam family: tRNA
About the family: Transfer RNA (tRNA) molecules are approximately 80 nucleotides in length. Their secondary structure includes four short double-helical elements and three loops (D, anti-codon, and T loops).
Source: Rfam by way of RNAcentral